UCUCUCUCUCUCUCUCUCUAGACUCUUCUUUGGCUUUGCUUUCCCUUUCUCUUGUUUCUUCCUUAACUUUCUGGUUUGGUCUUUUGGGGUUUGUGGGUUGUUGGUGAAGAGGCUUUUUGAAGGGAUUUUGGUACUGUUCUACUUUAUGGCUUCUGAGUUUUUGCAGUUUUCUUUUUUCCUUCAACCUUUGGAAUUCAAUUUUGUGGACUGAGGGAGAUAACCUUGUGAGAGAAGAUUGGAAUUUUUUUUUUCAAAUUUUGUUGCUUUUUAGAGAGAAAAAGAUAAAAAGUGACAGAAGUGGGACUGUGAGAGCAUGUUACGGUUGGCAAUGGAAGAAGAGAGAGAGAGAUUGUUGGCAAGAGAGAGCUAUCACAGGGGAGAU
This 382-nucleotide unclassified non-coding RNA is filed under the name Hevea brasiliensis (rubber tree). The record is from RNAcentral. Lineage: Eukaryota; Viridiplantae; Streptophyta; Magnoliopsida; Malpighiales; Euphorbiaceae.